This 800-nucleotide ribosomal RNA is filed under the name uncultured bacterium. RNAcentral describes it as "bacterial SSU rRNA". It matches the Rfam family "Bacterial small subunit ribosomal RNA", at positions 8 to 781 of the family's 1533-position model. The record is from RNAcentral.
AGAGUUUGAUCCUGGCUCAGAACGAACGCUGGCGGCGUGCCUAACACAUGCAAGUCGUACGAGAAAUCCUGGGCAACUGGGAAAGUAAAGUGGCGCACGGGUGAGUAACGCGUGGGUAACCUGCCCUUGGAUUCGGGAUAACUCCGCGAAAGCGGGGUUAAUACCGGAUGAUAUUCCGAUUCCUAAGGGGAUUGGAAUCAAAGGUGGCCUCUGCAUGCAAGCUAUCGUCUAAGGAUGGGCCCGCGUACCAUUAGCUAGUUGGUAGAGUAACGGCCUACCAAGGCAACGAUGGUUAGCUGGUCUUAGAGGAUGGCCAGCCACACUGGAACUGAGACACGGUCCAGACUCCUACGGGAGGCAGCAGUGGGGAAUCUUGCGCAAUGGGGGAAACCUUGACGCAGCAACGCCGCGUGGGUGAUGAAGGCCUUCGGGUCGUAAAGCCCUGUCAGGUGGGAAGAAAAAUAUCGGUGUUAAUACCACCGAUGUUUGACGGUACCGCCGGAGGAAGCACCGGCUAACUCCGUGCCAGCAGCCGCGGUAAUACGGAGGGUGCAAGCGUUGUUCGGAAUUACUGGGCGUAAAGCGCGUGUAGGCGGUCGGGCAAGUCAGAUGUGAAAGCCUUCCGCUUAACGGAAGAAGUGCAUUUGAAACUAUCCGGCUGGAGUACGGGAGAGGAGAGUGGAAUUCCCGGUGUAGAGGUGAAAUUCGUAGAUAUCGGGAGGAACACCAGUGGCGAAGGCGGCUCUCUGGUCCGAUACUGACGCUGAGACGCGAAAGCGUGGGGGAGCAAACAGGAUUAG